RNAcentral lists this ribosomal RNA (253 nucleotides) under uncultured bacterium. Its description in RNAcentral is "partial 16S ribosomal RNA". It matches the Rfam family "Bacterial small subunit ribosomal RNA", at positions 524 to 776 of the family's 1533-position model. The record is from RNAcentral.
UACGAAGGGGGCUAGCGUUGUUCGGAAUUACUGGGCGUAAAGCGUAUGCAGGCGGAUCGUUAAGUCGGGGGUGAAAUCCCGAGGCUCAACCUCGGAACUGCCUUCGAUACUGGCGAUCUUGAGUCCGGGAGAGGUGAGUGGAACUCCGAGUGUAGAGGUGAAAUUCGUAGAUAUUCGGAAGAACACCAGUGGCGAAGGCGGCUCACUGGCCUGGUACUGACGCUGAGAUACGAAAGCGUGGGGAGCAAACAGG